AAGUCGUAACAAGGUUUCCGUAGGUGAACCUGCGGAAGGAUCAUUAACAGAUUCUGCUAGCCAGAUAUCUUACCCCGUGUGAACUGUUCUUUAGACUUGGUGCCCAAGACUCGAGGCUCUCCGAGAGGGGCUGCUGGAGGCCUUCAAAUAGCCGACGCGUCUCUCAAGGGUGUCUCGACUCUAAGCACCAUCAUUUUUACCCUUUAACUUUGAAUGCCGAGAAACUUACAAAAGACUAGAAAACUUUUAGCAACGGAUCUCUAGGCUCUU
This 270-nucleotide unclassified non-coding RNA is filed under the name fungal sp. Its description in RNAcentral is "partial internal transcribed spacer region". The stretch from base 1 to 46 matches the Rfam family "Eukaryotic small subunit ribosomal RNA", at positions 1786 to 1831 of the family's 1831-position model. Lineage: Eukaryota; Fungi. The record is from RNAcentral.